UACGUAGGUAGCAAGCGUUGUCCGGAAUUAUUGGGCGUAAAGAGCUCGUAGGCGGUCUGUCACGUCUGCUGUGAAAACUCGGGGCUUAACCCCGGGCCUGCAGUGGGUACGGGCAGACUAGAGUGCGGUAGGGGAGACUGGAAUUCCUGGUGUAGCGGUGAAAUGCGCAGAUAUCAGGAGGAACACCGGUGGCGAAGGCGGGUCUCUGGGCCGUAACUGACGCUGAGGAGCGAAAGCGUGGGGAGCGAACAGG
This 253-nucleotide ribosomal RNA is filed under the name uncultured bacterium. RNAcentral's name for it is "partial 16S ribosomal RNA". It matches the Rfam family "Bacterial small subunit ribosomal RNA", at positions 524 to 776 of the family's 1533-position model. The record is from RNAcentral.